Molecule: transfer RNA, 73 nt
Filed under: Vicugna pacos (alpaca)
Lineage: Eukaryota; Metazoa; Chordata; Mammalia; Artiodactyla; Camelidae
Description: tRNA-Ala (AGC) (tRNA-Ala-AGC-58-1)
Rfam family: tRNA
About the family: Transfer RNA (tRNA) molecules are approximately 80 nucleotides in length. Their secondary structure includes four short double-helical elements and three loops (D, anti-codon, and T loops).
Source: RNAcentral
GGAGGGUAUAGCUCAGUGGUAGAGCUCAUGCUUAGCAUGCAUGAGGUCCUGGGUUCAAUCCCCAGUACCUCCA